GAUGAACGCUGGCGGCGUGCCUAAUACAUGCAAGUCGAGCGAACGGACGAGAAGCUUGCUUCUCUGAUGUUAGCGGCGGACGGGUGAGUAACACGUGGAUAACCUACCUAUAAGACUGGGAUAACUUCGGGAAACCGGAGCUAAUACCGGAUGAUAUUUUGAACCGCAUGGUUCAAAAGUGAAAGACGGUCUUGCUGUCACUUAUAGAUGGAUCCGCGCUGCAUUAGCUAGUUGGUAAGGUAACGGCUUACCAAGGCAACGAUGCAUAGCCGACCUGAGGGGGUGAUCGGCCACACUGGAACUGAGACACGGUCCAGGCUCCUACGGGAGGCAGCAGUAGGGAAUCUUCCGCAAUGGGCGAAAGCCUGACGGAGCAACGCCGCGUGAGUGAUGAAGGUCUUCGGAUCGUAAAACUCUGUUAUUAGGGAAGAACAUAUGUGUAAGUAACUGUGCACAUCUUGACGGUACCUAAUCAGAAAGCCACGGCUAACUACGUG
RNAcentral lists this ribosomal RNA (497 nucleotides) under uncultured bacterium. RNAcentral's name for it is "partial 16S ribosomal RNA". It matches the Rfam family "Bacterial small subunit ribosomal RNA", at positions 28 to 507 of the family's 1533-position model. The record is from RNAcentral.